RNAcentral lists this transfer RNA (77 nucleotides) under Camelus dromedarius (Arabian camel). It matches the Rfam family "tRNA". From Rfam's summary of the family: Transfer RNA (tRNA) molecules are approximately 80 nucleotides in length. Their secondary structure includes four short double-helical elements and three loops (D, anti-codon, and T loops). Further hydrogen bonds mediate the characteristic L-shaped molecular structure. tRNAs have two regions of fundamental functional importance: the anti-codon, which is responsible for specific mRNA codon recognition, and the 3' end, to which the tRNAs corresponding amino acid is attached (by aminoacyl-tRNA synthetases). tRNAs cope with the degeneracy of the genetic code in two manners: having more than one tRNA (with a specific anti-codon) for a particular amino acid; and 'wobble' base-pairing, i.e. permitting non-standard base-pairing at the 3rd anti-codon position. Lineage: Eukaryota; Metazoa; Chordata; Mammalia; Artiodactyla; Camelidae. RNAcentral also lists the same sequence under 1 other name. The record is from Rfam by way of RNAcentral.
GGGGAAAUAGCUCAGUGGUAGAGCACAUGCUUAGCAUAGCAUGCGUGAGGUCCUGGGUUCAAUCCCCUGUACCUCUG